CCUGGAUACACGGUGAGUCCAUCAGGUGGCCUGAGAUUUCCUUGAGUUAUUGGAUAUGCCUUUUUCCAUGAUUCACAUACUGAUGAGUUUGUGGUUGAUUGUACAUAGAGGCUUAGAAAACACAUCUCAACAUCGGGGGGUAGAUUAAAAGGCACUGUACCCAGAUGGGGUCUGGCCCCGCCACAGACAUAACAGUUAGUUUUAGUGUGAAUUAGCA
Non-coding RNA from Pelobates cultripes (western spadefoot toad), 217 nucleotides. The record is from the annotation of a GenBank genome assembly. Lineage: Eukaryota; Metazoa; Chordata; Amphibia; Anura; Pelobatidae.